Molecule: long non-coding RNA, 1109 nt
Filed under: Sus scrofa (pig)
Lineage: Eukaryota; Metazoa; Chordata; Mammalia; Artiodactyla; Suidae
Description: lncRNA (ENSSSCG00005015433.1)
Source: RNAcentral
GGGAUCAAACCCUCAUCCUCAUGGAUACCAGUUGAGUUUGUUAUCACUGAGCCAAGUGGGAACUCCCAGACAAUGUUUUUACAUCACUCCCAAUCCAUCUAAUUUUGAGGCCACCUCCCAAGGAAUUUCUAUUAGCUGAUUUUAUUUAAUAUAAAAAACCCCCUCAACAUGACUUUGAAAAUGUUAGACUUGCAUCGCAUUGUCCCAGAUUGUCCCUUUGCACUUGCCGUUCUUUUAGAGUGAGAAGAGGCUGUCCCUGGAGUGAGAACAGGGGGAGGUUCUGGCUCAGAAACUCACAACCACAGUCUCUGCUUUCCUAAGGACCAUUGUUCCUUUUCCUCCUCGGCCAGCAUCCACACAAGUCAGGUGUGAGCAGACAUACCUGUGAUAAGGAUCUCACAACCCUUCCAGAUUUAUAUCUUGAUAUUAUGUAACUCCUAUAGAAGAGGAUACAGAGUUUGGUGUUUAUCCACACUGUUUACAGAUGUUUUUGUGUUUCGGCUCUGUUCAUAAAGACAUAUAUUAAAGUGAGUCAUUUUCUGUAUUAUCCUCUUUGUCCUAGGAUAAGAGGAUCUAUUCAUGAUCUAUGCAGUUAUGCACUUUUUUUUUUACCAAUCUAUAGAUGUGUGCAUGUAUGAAAAAAUACAUGACAAUGAAAGAAUUGAAUUUCAUAUAGGUUAUCAGUUUAGUUGCCACUUUACGUUUUGGAAACAUCUGGGCACAUGUAUUACACAGUAUUUCCAAUCAACGUGGUAGCGUACUUUAAAAUCCACAGGCUGCUGAGAGCCCAGAUUCACCCGCCGGGAGUGCCUCACCUAAUGAAAGUCUCCAUUCAGCUUUCAACGUCGGCAGCUACUUGCAAAGUUGCACAGAAAGAGCUCUUGGAGUUCCCAUCAUGGCUCAGCAGGUUAAGAACCCAGCAUCGUGUCCGUGAGGAUACAGCUUUGAUCGCUGGCCUUGUUCAGUGGGUUAAGGACCCGAUGUUGCUGUGGCUGUGGUGUAGGCCAGCAGCUGCUCCUCUGAUUUAACCCUAGCCUGGGAACCUCCAUAUACUGCAGGUGCAGCCGAAAAAGAAAAAGAAAAAAAAAAAAUAAAAAAAAAAAAAAAAA